RNAcentral lists this ribosomal RNA (305 nucleotides) under uncultured bacterium. RNAcentral's name for it is "bacterial SSU rRNA". It matches the Rfam family "Bacterial small subunit ribosomal RNA", at positions 334 to 637 of the family's 1533-position model. The record is from RNAcentral.
UUUGCCUACGGGGGGCAGCAGUGAGGAAUAUUGGUCAAUGGACGGAAGUCUGAACCAGCCAUGCCGCGUGCAGGAAGACGGCUCUAUGAGUUGUAAACUGCUUUUGUACAAGGGUAAACCUGAAUACGUGUAUUCAGCUGAAAGUACUGUACGAAUAAGGAUCGGCUAACUCCGUGCCAGCAGCCGCGGUAAUACGGAGGAUGCGAGCGUUAUCCGGAUUUAUUGGGUUUAAAGGGUGCGUAGGCGGCAUUAUAAGUUAGUGGUAAAAUAUUGGGGCUUCACCUCACUACGCCAUUAAUACUGUA